AGAGUUUGAUUAUGGCUCAGGAUGAACGCUAGCGAUAGGCCUAACACAUGCAAGUCGAGGGGCAGCACAUGAAGUAGCAAUACGGAUGGUGGCGACCGGCGCACGGGUGAGUAACGCGUAUGCAACCUGCCUACAACAGGGGAAUAACCCGUUGAGAGACGGACUAGUACCCCAUAACACAGGGAUCCCGCAUGGGAACAUUUGUUAAAGAUUUAUCGGUUGUAGAUGGGCAUGCGUUCCAUUAGCUUGUUGGUGAGGUAACGGCUCACCAAGGCAACGAUGGAUAGGGGAACUGAGAGGUUUAUCCCCCACACUGGUACUGAGACACGGACCAGACUCCUACGGGAGGCAGCAGUGAGGAAUAUUGGUCAAUGGACGCAAGUCUGAACCAGCCACGUCGCGUGAAGGAAGACGGCCCUACGGGUUGUAAACUUCUUUUGUAAGGGAAUAAAGUGUAGUACGUGUACUAUUUUGCAUGUACCUUACGAAUAAGGAUCGGCUAACUCCGUGCCAGCAGCCGCGGUAAUACGGAGGAUCCGAGCGUUAUCCGGAUUUAUUGGGUUUAAAGGGUGCGCAGGCGGGAGAUUAAGUCGGCGGUGAAAUUUUGCAGCUCAACUGUAAGAGUGCCUUCGAAACUGGUUUCCUUGAGUGUGGAUGAAGUAGGCGGAAUUUGUGGUGUAGCGGUGAAAUGCAUAGAUAUCACGAGGAACUCCGAUUGCGCAGGCAGCUUACUAAACCAUAACUGACGCUCAGCACGAAGGCGUGGGGAUCAAACAGGAUUAGAUACCCUGGUAGUC
This 797-nucleotide ribosomal RNA is filed under the name uncultured Proteiniphilum sp. RNAcentral's name for it is "bacterial SSU rRNA". It matches the Rfam family "Bacterial small subunit ribosomal RNA", at positions 8 to 795 of the family's 1533-position model. Lineage: Bacteria; Pseudomonadati; Bacteroidota; Bacteroidia; Bacteroidales; Dysgonomonadaceae. The record is from RNAcentral.